Molecule: long non-coding RNA, 598 nt
Filed under: Androctonus crassicauda
Lineage: Eukaryota; Metazoa; Arthropoda; Arachnida; Scorpiones; Buthidae
Source: RNAcentral
AAUGAGACCUUUGGCAUGGCUUUAUUGUUUUUUGGUUUUUUGUUUUUGUUUUUUUUAAAUUUUUUUUUUAAAAAGGUUUUUUUUUUUUGUUUUGUUUUGGCGCUUUUGACUCAGGAUUUAAAAACUGGAACGGUGAAGGCGACCGCAGUUGGUUGGAGCAAACAUCCCCCAAAGUUCUACAAUGUGGCUGAGGACUUUGAUUGUACAUUGUUUUUUGUUUUUGGUUUUUUUAAUAGUCACUCCAAGUAUCCACGGCAUAGAUGGUUACAGGAAGUCCCUCACCCUCCCAAAAGCCACCCCCAACUCCUAAGGGGAGGAUGGCUGCAUCCAUGCCCUGAGUCCACACCGGGGAAGGUGACAGCAUUGCUUCUGUGUAAAUUAUGUACUGCAAACAUUUUUUUAAAUCUUCCGCCUUAAUACUUCAUUUUUGUUUUUAAUUUCUGAAUGGUCAGCCAUUGUGGCCUGCCCCUUUUUUUUGUCCCCCCAACUUGAUGUAUGAAGGCUUUUGGUCCCCUUGGGAGCGGGUUGAGGUGCGGAGGCAGUCAGGGCUUUCCUGCACACUGACUUGAGACCAGUUAAAUAAAGUGCACAAUUAAAC